Long non-coding RNA from Onychomys torridus (southern grasshopper mouse), 404 nucleotides. RefSeq lists it as uncharacterized. NCBI's taxonomy places the organism in Eukaryota, Metazoa, Chordata, Mammalia, Rodentia, Cricetidae. The transcript has 3 exons. The record is from RefSeq and is a predicted model, not a curated record.
GCUGAGUGCUGCAUUUCCUCAUAUUCGCAGCUCCAGCUUCCAGUCCAUCUGUGCCACUGGAAGGAGCUGGUGCUGUAGAAGCUCAGAAGGAAAACACUGCAGCCUCAUAACGUCUCUAGAGUCAGUGUGGAUGAUUCAGGUCUCAACUACAUGGCCUCAACAUCUUGGCUUCCCCUGUGGCCAAGGUCAGGCUAGGCAGGGAAGGACCAGCAACCACACGCUGAGAUCUUUUGAUUCAGAGUCCUCCAGGAAACCUCCUCAGACUGAUCUCUCAACCCCAGUAAACUAGUGUCUGAGCAUCGGGCAAGAGGCUUAACUGGCUACUGCUUUGGACACUGCAUUCCUUGGCCUCCAGACCACGCGGAUCUUGGCAUAUAGUCUCACCAUGUAGCCCUGGCCAGGAA